UACGAAGGGGGCUAGCGUUGCUCGGAAUCACUGGGCGUAAAGCGCACGUAGGCGGAUCCUUAAGUCGGGGGUGAAAUCCUGGAGCUCAACUCCAGAACUGCCUUCGAUACUGAGGAUCUUGGAGUCCGGGAGAGGUGAGUGGAACUGCGAGUGUAGAGGUGAAAUUCGUAGAUAUUCGCAAGAACACCAGUGGCGAAGGCGGCUCACUGGCCCGGUACUGACGCUGAGGUGCGAAAGCGUGGGGAGCAAACAGG
RNAcentral lists this ribosomal RNA (254 nucleotides) under uncultured bacterium. Its description in RNAcentral is "partial 16S ribosomal RNA". It matches the Rfam family "Bacterial small subunit ribosomal RNA", at positions 524 to 776 of the family's 1533-position model. The record is from RNAcentral.